Molecule: transfer RNA, 76 nt
Filed under: Deltaproteobacteria bacterium
Lineage: Bacteria; Pseudomonadati; Myxococcota; Myxococcia
Also listed under: 2 other names
Description: tRNA-Lys
Rfam family: tRNA
About the family: Transfer RNA (tRNA) molecules are approximately 80 nucleotides in length.
Source: RNAcentral
GGGCCUUUAGCUCAAUUGGUAGAGCAUCGGACUCUUAAUCCGCAGGUUCCGGGUUCGAUCCCCGGAGGGCCCACCA